This is a non-coding RNA of Manis javanica (Malayan pangolin), 4438 nucleotides long. NCBI's taxonomy places the organism in Eukaryota, Metazoa, Chordata, Mammalia, Pholidota, Manidae. The record is from RefSeq and is a predicted model, not a curated record.
AAAUAAGGUCACAUUCACAGGUACUAGGGAUUAUGUGAAUUUUAGAGGGACACAGUUCAACCUGUAAAAAUUGCUACCUCCUUUCUCCUUUUAACCUUGUCAAACACACUGGUAGCAAACAGCAUUUAUUUAUCACUUUUUUCUUCAAUAAACAUUUGAAUGCAUACUAUUAUUUAACACCUAUCACCUAUUUUAUGGUAGGCACUUUCAUUUAAUCUCCAGAAUAGUGCACGAAGUGAUGUUAUCAGUCAUGCCUGGAGAGGUGGGGAGGUUCUAAAUUUGCUCUAGAGGACAGGAAUAUUUUCACAAAUUAGAUAGCACUUCAUCUGAGUCAAAAGAGAUUUGUAGAAAUAUACUAGGCAGUUCAAAGGUGGGUGUAAUGAGCAGCAGACUCUAAAAAGCAUUUUAUAUAAGAAAAAACAUCAUGUGUAAAGGUUGAGACAGAUGGUAAACUCCAGCAGGGCUGAGACUUUGUCGAUUUCUUUCCUGUAUCUCCAGCACUUUUGAACAGUGCCUGACUCAUUAAGUAAUUGUUUAACAAACGUAAGGGCAUCACAUGUCUAAAGAGUGGCAGGGCUUGAAGUUCAGUCGCUAGAUCCUUAAGAGCCCUUGUAAACCACACUAAGUGUAAGAAAUUAGGGCUGACAUGACGAUUCAUAGCGUUAAAGAAUUUCCGGUAUACCUGGCACCCGCUUGCCAAUCGCCCCUCUUCCCCAGAGCGUGUCCGAGGGCGCUCGCUGCCGCGAAGGCCAAAACAUGGUAGCGGCGCCCCGGCCACAUACCCCAAAGGUUUCUCUGGCCCAAGCUGGAUUUAAGCACAUGGCGGUGGGCUCGACGGCUAAUGGACCCUCCUACUCUUCUCCUCGUACUGGCUCCUACCUUCCCUCCCAAACCGGCUACCGCGCCCACUCUCGGAGGACGUCAGGCUGUGUCUAGGCCUUCCAGGAACCCCAAGGAAGGACUCCCCGCGCGCGCCCCCGCAAACCGGCCCCGCCUUCCUUCCCUCCAGAACGCCGAGAGCGCAAGCGCGCCUUCCCUAGCCGAGCGCGCGCCCGCGAGCUCCUCGCAGCCCCGUGCUCAUCCGGGUCUCGGCAGGCCUCAGCCAAUGGUGGACACUCACGGCCCCCAGGGGCGGAGCUGAGUCUUCCCUCACAUGGGGACUGUGGUCACCGCUGGCCUUUCCAGACGAUCGCAGUCAGCCGGGGAAAAGGGCAGAGACAGGGAGCCCAGCGUCUGGCCGAGGAUCCACGGUUUUGAGAUCAGGCAGCUAUCGCCCCCUAGAAGCGACUGUAUCGCGAGGAGAUUCCCCAGUCAGAGCCGCUGUAGUAAACACACUUCAGAAACGUGAGGUGCCGGGGGUCACGUGGAGGCGUGCAUCCUCCAAUGAGGAGCUGGGGGCGGGGCCGAAUCCGCUGACGCGGCGGUAGCAGAGGAGUCACCAGGGCAGCCUCGGGACCGGUCACCAGCCGGCAACGGUCCAGCGGCCUCGACCACCGCCUCAAGCUCCGGGCUCCGUCCUCCUUCCUCUUUCCCGGGCCGAGACGCAGCGUGGGCGACAGUGGCUGAAUCCUCUCGCAUCCCUCUCGGUGGUUCGCCUCGGGCAGGCAGUUUUCUCCUUCGGGGCCGCCUUGGUGGGGCCAGCUUUCCGUGACGAAUCUCCUGGGGCUGCCAGUACGGGUUCGGGCUGUCGUGGCGACUCGGGAGCCUGGAACUUGCUCACCCUUCGGGCGCCCGAGGAUCUCGAAGUUAUGCGCCUCGUCCCGGUGGUUGCGGCGGGCGCCGGCCCCUAAAGGGCGUCCGUCACAGCCGGACUCCGCCGAGUGGGCAACCUCCAUUCAUCUUCCAGCGCCCUCUCUGGUUCUCUCCUAGGACUCAUUUUUCCUUUUUCCUUUUUCCUCCCUCCGCUGCCCUUUCCUCACUCCUUGGGUGUGGCGGUUCUCGUGGAAGCGGAGGUGUCGGUUAUGAGCCGAGCCUUCCUUCUUUGAGUUUCUCCGUGGAGGAACUGGGCUGUGACCGCCGCCCGCCUCGCCCCGGGGAUGGGGGUGAACGCCGUGCACUGGUUCCGAAAGGGGCUGCGGCUGCACGACAACCCCGCCCUGAAGGAGUGCAUCCAGGGCGCCGACACCAUCCGCUGCGUCUACAUCCUCGACCCCUGGUUCGCCGGCUCCUCCAACGUGGGCAUCAACAGGUGGCGAUUUUUGCUUCAGUGUCUUGAAGAUCUUGAUGCUAAUCUGCGAAAAUUAAACUCUCGUCUGUUUGUGAUUCGUGGACAACCAGCAGAUGUGUUUCCCAGGCUUUUCAAGGAAUGGAAUAUUAGUAAACUUUCAAUUGAGUAUGAUUCUGAGCCCUUUGGAAAGGAGAGAGAUGCAGCUAUUAAGAAACUGGCUACUGAAGCUGGUGUAGAAGUAAUUGUACGAAUUUCACAUACAUUAUAUGACCUAGACAAGAUCAUAGAACUCAAUGGUGGACAACCACCUCUUACUUAUAAAAGAUUCCAGACUCUCAUCAGCAAAAUGGAACCACUGGAGAUACCAGUAGAGACAAUUACUUCAGAAGUGAUAGAAAAUUGCACAACUCCUCUCUCUGAUGACCAUGAUGAGAAAUAUGGAGUCCCUUCACUGGAAGAGCUAGGUUUUGAUACAGAUGGCUUACCCUCUGCAGUAUGGCCAGGUGGAGAAACUGAAGCACUUACACGUUUGGAAAGGCAUUUGGAAAGAAAAGCUUGGGUGGCAAACUUUGAAAGACCUCGAAUGAAUGCAAAUUCCCUGCUUGCUAGCCCUACUGGACUCAGUCCUUACCUCCGAUUUGGUUGCUUGUCAUGUCGACUAUUUUACUUUAAGUUAACAGAUCUCUACAAAAAGGUAAAGAAGAAUAGUUCUCCUCCCCUUUCCCUUUAUGGGCAACUAUUGUGGCGUGAAUUUUUCUAUACAGCAGCAACAAAUAACCCACGUUUUGACAAAAUGGAAGGAAACCCCAUCUGUGUUCAGAUUCCUUGGGAUAAGAAUCCUGAGGCUUUAGCAAAAUGGGCAGAAGGCCGGACAGGCUUUCCAUGGAUUGAUGCCAUCAUGACACAGCUUCGUCAGGAGGGUUGGAUUCACCAUUUAGCCAGACAUGCAGUUGCUUGCUUCCUGACACGAGGUGACCUGUGGAUUAGUUGGGAAGAAGGAAUGAAGGUAUUUGAAGAAUUAUUGCUUGAUGCAGAUUGGAGCAUAAAUGCUGGAAGUUGGAUGUGGCUGUCUUGUAGUUCCUUUUUCCAACAGUUUUUUCACUGCUAUUGUCCUGUUGGUUUUGGUAGAAGAACAGAUCCCAAUGGAGACUAUAUCAGGCGUUAUUUGCCUGUUCUAAGAGGCUUCCCUGCAAAAUAUAUCUAUGAUCCCUGGAAUGCACCAGAAGGCAUCCAGAAAGUAGCCAAAUGUUUGAUAGGAGUUAAUUAUCCUAAGCCAAUGGUGAACCAUGCUGAAGCAAGCCGUUUGAAUAUUGAAAGGAUGAAACAGAUUUAUCAGCAGCUUUCACGAUAUAGAGGACUAGGCCUUCUUGCAUCAGUGCCUUCUAAUCCUAAUGGGAAUGGAGGCCUCAUGGGGUAUUCUCCCGGAGAAAAUAUCCCAGGUUGUAGCAGCAGUGGAAGUUGCUCUCAAGGGAGUGGCAUUUUACAUUAUGCUCCUGGAGACAGUCAGCAGACUCACCUAUUAAAACAAGGAAGAAGCUCCAUGGGCACUGGCCUCAGCAGUGGGAAACGUCCUAGUCAGGAAGAGGACACUCAGAGUAUCGGUCCCAAAGUCCAACGACAGAGCACUAAUUAGAAAACAUUCAGGAGGAGUACUGUUGCAGCUGAAAUUGGUGGGGAGUUCAGUACUUUUUUUCAGUUAAAUUAUUUCAAAAUGUUCUUCAUUGAUGGAAAGUCGUUACAUUUUCAAAUGUAUUUCUAAUGACAUUUCUGUGGUUUUUAACUUUUUAAUGAAUUUCAUGAAACAAAUGAUAAUUUGUAUAUAAAGAACUUGGUCAAAGAAUUUGCUUAAUGUAAAUAUAAAGUCAUAAUUAGUAUAGAUCCAUCAAUAUAUUUUUGAUAAUUUUUCAUGUAUGGUAAAAAUUAAAGUGGCAAACUGAGACUCUGAUGUGAUAAUCAAAGUUUUGAGAGUCAGUAUGUGAAAAUAGGUUUUUAGACUUUCUUAAAAGACUUGUUAAAAUUUUAGGACAAUUUUCUUGAUAUCAUUGUUUGAUCUAACUUUGUACUGUUUGAUAAUGUUUUAGAAAAUGUGUAUAAUCGAACUUGGUAGUUAUAGCCUCUGUUAACACAGACAAUAUAUGUUUUAAAGCUUCAUGUAUGCCUUUUUGAUCAAAAUUUGUGGAAGUAUCAUGUGUUAAGUUCUCCUUGUCUCCCUUUCUUUGUUCAUUUGCAGCUAAAGUGACCUUGUUAUUAAAAGUAUAUGUAUAUAUGGAA